UACGGAGGAUCCAAGCGUUAUCCGGAAUCAUUGGGUUUAAAGGGUCCGUAGGCGGUCUUAUAAGUCAGUGGUGAAAGCCCAUCGCUCAACGAUGGAACUGCCAUUGAUACUGUAAGACUUGAAUGCUUGUGAAGUAACUAGAAUAUGUAGUGUAGCGGUGAAAUGCUUAGAUAUUACAUGGAAUACCAAUUGCGAAGGCAGGUUACUAACAAGUUAUUGACGCUCAGGUGCGAAAGCGUGGGGAGCAAACAGG
RNAcentral lists this unclassified non-coding RNA (253 nucleotides) under uncultured Flavobacteriaceae bacterium. RNAcentral's name for it is "contains 16S-23S intergenic spacer region". It matches the Rfam family "Bacterial small subunit ribosomal RNA", at positions 524 to 776 of the family's 1533-position model. Lineage: Bacteria; Pseudomonadati; Bacteroidota; Flavobacteriia; Flavobacteriales; Flavobacteriaceae. The record is from RNAcentral.